UGAGUCUGUAAGAAAAGAGGAG
RNAcentral lists this microRNA (22 nucleotides) under Macaca mulatta (Rhesus monkey). Its description in RNAcentral is "mml-miR-627-5p". Its record names the gene mml-miR-627-5p. Lineage: Eukaryota; Metazoa; Chordata; Mammalia; Primates; Cercopithecidae. The record is from miRBase by way of RNAcentral.